RNAcentral lists this ribosomal RNA (484 nucleotides) under uncultured bacterium. RNAcentral's name for it is "partial 16S ribosomal RNA". It matches the Rfam family "Bacterial small subunit ribosomal RNA", at positions 30 to 507 of the family's 1533-position model. The record is from RNAcentral.
AUUGAACGCUGGCGGCAGGCCUAACACAUGCAAGUCGAGCGGAUGAAGGGAGCUUGCUCCUGGAUUCAGCGGCGGACGGGUGAGUAAUGCCUAGGAAUCUGCCUGGUAGUGGGGGCUAACGUCCGGAAACGGGCGCUAAUACCGCAUACGUCCUGAGGGAGAAAGUGGGGGAUCUUCGGACAUCACGCUAUCAGAUGAGCCUAGGUCGGAUUAGCUAGUUGGUGGGGUAAAGGCCUACCAAGGCGACGAUCCGUAACUGGUCUGAGAGGAUGAUCAGUCACACUGGAACUGAGACACGGUCCAGACUCCUACGGGAGGCAGCAGUGGGGAAUAUUGGACAAAGGGCGAAAGCCUGAUCCAGCCAUGCCGCGUGUGUGAAGAAGGUCUUCGGAUUGUAAAGCACUUUAAGUUGGGAGGAAGGGCAGUAAGUUAAUACCUUGCUGUUUUGACGUUACCAACAGAAUAAGCACCGGCUAACUUCGUG